UACGUAGGGUGCAAGCGUUGUCCGGAAUUAUUGGGCGUAAAGAGCUCGUAGGCGGUCUGUUACGUCGGCUGUGAAAACCUGGGGCUUAACCCUGGGCUUGCAGUGGGUACGGGCAGACUAGAGUGCGGUAGGGGAGACUGGAAUUCCUGGUGUAGCGGUGAAAUGCGCAGAUAUCAGGAGGAACACCGAUGGCGAAGGCAGGUCUCUGGGCAUUAACUGACGCUGAGGAGCGAAAGCAUGGGGAGCGAACAGG
RNAcentral lists this ribosomal RNA (253 nucleotides) under uncultured bacterium. RNAcentral describes it as "partial 16S ribosomal RNA". It matches the Rfam family "Bacterial small subunit ribosomal RNA", at positions 524 to 776 of the family's 1533-position model. The record is from RNAcentral.